UAGCUGGCUAUGGCUAUCCAGCACUGGAAUUCUUCCAAGUCAAGCAAAAUAAAUGACGAGACCAUCAUACUGCCCAUCUCUGCAUGAUUGAAGAAAGCAAUGGAGCUCCGCCGGGUCUUUUUUUAAAAUGGCGGAUGAGGAAGCGAAAGCUACUGCAUCAUAGUGAAAGGGGGAGAUAUGUCGUGUAGGGAACCGGCUUUUUUCACCCGAUUUGUCCAACUUAUCACCUCUAAAAUUCCCUGAAGUGUCAUUCAAGUACAUGGAGGAUGCAGAGACCGCAGGGGAGCCCAAUCACACAGCUGUGACCAGGACACUAGCUCCUCUUGCUCCACAGGGAUUGGCUACCAACAGUUACCAUGGGAAACAAAGUCUAGGUUUCUAAGCAACCUGGGAGUGGAGCUAGAAUUACAGAGGUGUUACAUUUUCUGUACCAGACGAAUUAUGAGAGAUUAAGACAAUGGGGG
Molecule: long non-coding RNA, 464 nt
Organism: Coregonus clupeaformis (lake whitefish)
Lineage: Eukaryota; Metazoa; Chordata; Actinopteri; Salmoniformes; Salmonidae
Exons: 3
Source: RefSeq, a predicted model, not a curated record